GAUGAAGAAACCCAGCUGCGUGCACGUGUGUGGAAUACUCUUGGGUAGCAUGAGCAGGUCAGGCAAUGGCAAAUGGCAUGAUGUGACCUCGAGUCAACAUCGGAGGCAUCAAAGUGGUUCCCUGGUUUCUCCAACCCCUCUGUAUCAAACACCUGGUAUCUCCCAGAACCUGAAGACUCAAAGAAGAGUUAAAUAAAUAAAUAAAAGCUAACACUUCUAUGGUGACUACUAUGUGCUGGGCACACUUCUAAGUUAACUUUGG
This 262-nucleotide long non-coding RNA is filed under the name Homo sapiens (human). RNAcentral describes it as "HSALNT0141816". Lineage: Eukaryota; Metazoa; Chordata; Mammalia; Primates; Hominidae. The record is from RNAcentral.